UGAUUUUAUAGUGAAGCAGUAAAAUUCUGCGGUAGUUGGAUGUCGCUAUCCUAGUUCGAUGGUGUUUCUCGAAGGACACUGGUGGGCGUCGUUGAUAAGGAUCCUAAAUAUGGAAGGCUUCAGCUUCACUUUGGUCAAAGUAAUAAUUCUGCAAACUUCACUUCGCCGGACUAUAUCCGUAACUAUAAAUUUCUGAAAGGUUUUGCUGGGAUGAAGAGAAACAGUUUUUCCAUCAAACCGCCUUUAAAACAGCAUGAUAGCGACAACAGUUGAUUGACAUAACAGAUAUUAAACGGGUAUGCUACUAAUCGUCAGUAGUAGACCCAGCAAGUCCAUUAUUAUUGAGUGGUGGUGAUUAUAGUCAGUAGUGGACCUUUUGAGUUCAUUAAUAGUGUAAUUGUGGUGGUAGUUAAAAUUACCCGCAGAUUUUAUACCUAGAGAAAUUGACCGGGUUUGUUAAUAAAGGCUUAUAUAAAUUUCUCUUAUCUACGCUAAAUCUGAUGUCUUUCCUUUUGAUCCAACAGCAAUCCUACUAGAUCACUUGUCUAGUUUACUGGAAUGUUUUCUUUACCGCAAGAUUAUAUAACUUGCAAUGCAAAGAGCAUCCCGUUCACUGAUUAAAGUUUCUAUGAAUUUAAAUUUGUUUGAGCUAAUGUGAAUUAAAUUUGUUUGAGCUAAUGUGAGGUAUUACUAAUAUCUUCGAUUUAUUGAAGUUUCUAUUUGUCAAAUCACUAGCAAUUUGAGGUAUUGCUAAUGUGGUUAUCUUUAAUUUAGAAUGCAUACGUGAACUAUUGAGGCUAAAAAUAAUUAUCAGUUCCUUUUCUCAUUCCGGUGUCAAGGCUUUAAAAUAUUAAAUUUUACUAAGGCAAUGAAGCAUAAAGAGGUAGAUGAAAGGGAAUAGUUAAAUAAGUAAAACUGAAGACUUGCUCAUUCCUUGAUACUGUUUUAUUCUUUGCUUUAAACUGUUAAGUCUUGAAAGUGGUUAAAAUGAAUCUUGAAAGUGGUGAAAAUGUGUUUAAAUUUGAGUGGGAAAAUAAAUUAGCCAUUAAAAUUCUGUAAAAGUUUGCCAUUAGAAUGAAGUAACUGCAGAUAAGCUCCUGGAACCCCUCCCAUGGUUCUAUGGUUAUCUGCAGAGCACGUAACAUUUCCUGGAAGACCUAGUUGCUAGGCAAACAGAGCCAACGUCUGUUCCCGUUAUUAAAUCUAUGCAUCUAGCUUUCUUAAAUGCCUGCUAAUCCUGUUAAAUUUUCUUAGGGUUGGGGCUAAAUUUUCGAUUGCUAGAAUAGAAACUGGUUAAUUAAUACGAAAUGAUUUAACGCAUUGCUCGAGUAGGUCUAUUAGGGUUUAAAUCUUGAGCUGCUGGGACUCACUGCAGGGUGACCAGACUUCCCGUAUUUGACGGGAUUGUCCCGUAUCGACCCUCCCCGGGACGCAUUUUGUCCCGUAUUUUCAAUAUCUUAAAAAAAAAUAAAUAAACUAGCGAAAUUUGUACUGCGCAUCCCCUCUUCAAACGCUCAAGUGGAGCGAGUGUUACCUCUGAUGGGCCAUCGAUGGGGUGGGUGUAGGAACCGGUGCAGUGUUUAGAUGAUAGUCAGAACUACAGAAAGUGCAAUUUCACACUGUCCUGUUCGGAGUUCAU
This is a long non-coding RNA of Macrobrachium nipponense, 1639 nucleotides long. RefSeq lists it as uncharacterized. Lineage: Eukaryota; Metazoa; Arthropoda; Malacostraca; Decapoda; Palaemonidae. The record is from RefSeq and is a predicted model, not a curated record. The transcript is spliced from 3 exons.